ACCUCUAGCAUUACUAGUAUUAGAGGCACUGCCUGCCCGGUGACACACGUUUAACGGCCGCGGUACCCUGACCGUGCAAAGGUAGCAUAAUCACUUGUUCUUUAAAUAGGGACUUGCAUGAAUGGCAUCACGAGGGUUUGACUGUCUCUUACUUUUAACCAGUGAAAUUGACCUAUCCGUGAAGAGACGGAUAUAGCACAAUAAGACGAGAAGACCCUAUGGAGCUUUAAUUUAUUAAUGCAACUAAAAACUACACAAACCUACAGGCCCCUAAACUACUAUACCUGCAUUAAAAAUUUUGGUUGGGGUGACCUCGGAGCACAGCCAAACCUCCGAAUAAUUAAUGCUAAGACUACACAAGUCGAAGCGAACUAAUAUUUACAACUGAUCCAAUAACUUGAUCAACGGAACAAGUUACCCUAGGGAUAACAGCGCAAUUCUAUUCUAGAGUCCAUAUCGACAAUAGAGUUUACGACCUCGAUGUUGGAUCAGGACAUCCUAAUGGUGCAGCAGCUAUCAAGGGUU
RNAcentral lists this ribosomal RNA (525 nucleotides) under Mandrillus leucophaeus (drill). Its description in RNAcentral is "partial 16S large subunit ribosomal RNA". It matches the Rfam family "Bacterial large subunit ribosomal RNA", at positions 1818 to 2573 of the family's 2925-position model. The record is from RNAcentral. Lineage: Eukaryota; Metazoa; Chordata; Mammalia; Primates; Cercopithecidae.